UACGUAGGGUGCAAGCGUUGUCCGGAAUCAUUGGGCGUAAAGCGCGUGUAGGCGGCCUUGUAAGUCCGUUCUGAAAGCCUGGGGCUCAACCCCAGGAGGCGGAUGGAUACUGCAAGGCUCGAGUCCGGAAGAGGCGAGUGGAAUUCCCGGUGUAGUGGUGAAAUGCGCAGAUAUCGGGAGGAACACCAAUGGCGAAGGCAGCUUGCUGGGACGGUACUGACGCUGAGACGCGAAAGCGUGGGGAGCAAACAGG
This 253-nucleotide ribosomal RNA is filed under the name uncultured bacterium. RNAcentral's name for it is "partial 16S ribosomal RNA". It matches the Rfam family "Bacterial small subunit ribosomal RNA", at positions 524 to 776 of the family's 1533-position model. The record is from RNAcentral.